Molecule: non-coding RNA, 121 nt
Organism: Aspergillus hancockii
Lineage: Eukaryota; Fungi; Ascomycota; Eurotiomycetes; Eurotiales; Aspergillaceae
Source: the annotation of a GenBank genome assembly
GGCAAGAUGACCGAGUGGUUAAGGUGCUCGACUCAAGCGUUAAAUAUAAUAAGCUUGUUCUGGUUCACCAGGGUGCUUUCGAGUGUCGCAAGACGCGUGGGUUCGAAUCCCACUCUUGUCA